RNAcentral lists this ribosomal RNA (1395 nucleotides) under Piptocephalis freseniana. RNAcentral's name for it is "LSU rRNA". It matches the Rfam family "Eukaryotic large subunit ribosomal RNA", at positions 123 to 1346 of the family's 3401-position model. Lineage: Eukaryota; Fungi; Zoopagomycota; Zoopagomycetes; Zoopagales; Piptocephalidaceae. The record is from RNAcentral.
CCGGGUAACCGGGUCGCGAGUUGUAAUUUGAUGAGGUAAACUUGGUGGGCGCCUGGGUCUAAAUCCUUUGGAAAAGGGUAUCAUAGAGGGUGACAAUCCCGUCUGUGGCUCAGUCAGCGGUCUAUCGUGUAAGUUGCCUUCAAAGAGUCGGGUUGUUUGGGAAUGCAGCCCUAAGCUGGUGGUAAAUUCCAUCUAAAGCUAAAUAUUCGUGAGAGACCGAUAGCGAACAAGUACCGUGAGGGAAAGUUGAAAAGCACUCUGGAGAGAGAGUCAAACAGCACGUGAAAUUGUUAACAGGGAAACGUUGGGCCCCAGUACGCGCCUCGCGUAAAAUCAACCAUCUCUUCCCCGAGGGUAUCCGUGCCGGGUGGAUGAGUCCUUAAGAAGGGCCAUUGCCUGGUCGGUGCCCGAGGGGGGUGGUGCACUUUUGCGUGGGCGGGUCAACGUCAGUUAGAGCCACCGGAAAAUCCUGGGAGGAAUGUUGGCGAAGGCAACGGACCCACUUAUAGCCUCCCUUGAAAACGGUGACCCUGACUGAGGAGUCGCAGCCUCAUCAUAUGGCGCGCGCGUCUCCCUUCCCCCUGUGGGUAAGGCAGCUUGCUGACUUGCCUCGGUAAGGGAGGGGACUGCGCGUGUGCCUGGUGGGGCCACGGACGUUGGCGAAAUGGUUCUCAACGACCCGUCUUGAAACACGGACCAAGGAGUCUAACAUGUGUGCGAGUAUUUGGGUGCAAAACCCGAAUGCGCAAUGAAAGUGACCGCAGGGGAGAAGGGUGACCCUCUCGGGGGUCGCCCCGCAUCCUCGACCGAUCCGAUUGCCCUCCGUGGCGACGGGUUUGAGUUUGAGCAUAUCUGUUAGGACCCGAAAGAUGGUGAACUAUGCCUGAGUAGGAUGAAGCCAGAGGAAACUCUGGUGGAGGUCCGUAGCGAUUCUGACGUGCAAAUCGAUCGUCGAACUUGGGUAUAGGGGCGAAAGACUAAUCGAACCAUCUAGUAGCUGGUUCCCGCCGAAGUUUCCCUCAGGAUAGCAGAAACGCGUUAACAGUAUUAUGAGGUAAAGCGAAUGAUUAGAGGCCUUGGGGGCGGAAUGCCCUUAACCUAUUCUCAAACUUUAAAUAUGUAAGAAGUCCUUGCCACUUAAUUGGGCAUGGACGUUGUUGUAUGAGCGUUUCUAGUGGGCCAUUUUUGGUAAGCAGAACUGGCGAUGUGGGAUGAACCAGACGGGAGGUUAAGGUGCCGGAAUGUACGCUCAUGUAGACACCACAAAAGGUGUUGGUUCAUCUAGACAGCAGGACGGUGGCCAUGGAAGUCGGAAUCCGCUAAGGAGUGUGUAACAACUCACCUGCCGAAUGAACUAGCCCUGAAAAUGGAUGGCGCUCAAGCGUACUACCCAAA